GAACCGCCCGGGCUGUCCCAAGGCGGGCAGAGCUGUCCCAAAGCGGGAUGAGUUGUCCCACGGCCGGGAUGUGCAGUGGGCAGAGCUGUCCCAAGGCGGGGUAAGCUGUCCCAAAGCCCGAGGCACGCCCAGCUCACGCUUUCACUGCUCCGCUCUGCAGUUACCGCGAUCCGCAGCUGUUGCCCCUGCUAGACCGGAAUGGCUGCAGUGAUACAAUUCCCUAACGGGGACGCUGUUUCAGAAGAUUUGGAAAACAAAAAUAAGGCUCUUUGUAUCGCCAGAGCAGCUGCCCUGGCGUGCUGCUCCCUCGGCAGCCUCGCGGGAAAUUCAAGGUAGAGAAUGGUCUUUAGAAAAGUUAACUUCCAACCACGGUUUCAAAAUUGCCUGUAAAGAAAAUCCACCUCAGAAAUUGUUGAGCUGCUCUUCAAUUCCCAGCACUGCUCAGGCCUGUGCCUUGCUCACAGCCCAGAAGCUUACAGGUUGUUUCAGAAAAGGCUGCUAAGCCUGUUCAGCCUAAGGAGAGCUGAGAGGGGCCCUCACCCACCCUGGGAUUCUGUGGAAAAUAAACCCUGACAGUUUUCCAUUUGA
Molecule: long non-coding RNA, 588 nt
Organism: Zonotrichia albicollis (white-throated sparrow)
Lineage: Eukaryota; Metazoa; Chordata; Aves; Passeriformes; Passerellidae
Source: RefSeq, a predicted model, not a curated record